RNAcentral lists this ribosomal RNA (450 nucleotides) under uncultured bacterium. RNAcentral describes it as "bacterial SSU rRNA". It matches the Rfam family "Bacterial small subunit ribosomal RNA", at positions 354 to 796 of the family's 1533-position model. The record is from RNAcentral.
GUGGGGAAUUUUGGACAAUGGGCGAAAGCCUGAUCCAGCCAUGCCGCGUGCAGGAUGAAGGCCUUCGGGUUGUAAACUGCUUUUGUACGGAACGAAAAGACUCCUUCUAAUAAAGGGGGUCCAUGACGGUACCGUAAGAAUAAGCACCGGCUAACUACGUGCCAGCAGCCGCGGUAAUACGUAGGGUGCAAGCGUUAAUCGGAAUUACUGGGCGUAAAGCGUGCGCAGGCGGUUAUAUAAGACAGAUGUGAAAUCCCCGGGCUCAACCUGGGAACUGCAUUUGUGACUGUAUAGCUAGAGUACGGUAGAGGGGGAUGGAAUUCCGCGUGUAGCAGUGAAAUGCGUAGAUAUGCGGAGGAACACCGAUGGCGAAGGCAAUCCCCUGGGCCUGCACUGACGCUCAUGCACGAAAGCGUGGGGAGCAAACAGGAUUAGAAACCCGAGUAGUCC